This 253-nucleotide ribosomal RNA is filed under the name uncultured bacterium. Its description in RNAcentral is "partial 16S ribosomal RNA". It matches the Rfam family "Bacterial small subunit ribosomal RNA", at positions 524 to 776 of the family's 1533-position model. The record is from RNAcentral.
UACAGAGGCCUCGAGCGUUAGGCGGAAUCACUGGGCUUAAAGCGCGUGUAGGCGGAUCGUUAAGUACCUUGUGAAAUCCCACGGCUCAACCGUGGAACUGCUGGGUAUACUGGCGGUCUUGGGCCAUCUAGGGGUCGCCGGAACAAGCGGUGGAGCGGUGAAAUGCGUAGAUAUCUGGAGGAACACCGGUGGCGAAGGCGGCAUCCUGGACCGACAUUGACGCUGAGGCGCGAAAGCCAGGGGAGCAAACGGG